This 876-nucleotide long non-coding RNA is filed under the name Rattus norvegicus (Norway rat). Its description in RNAcentral is "long non-coding RNA NONRATT001112". Lineage: Eukaryota; Metazoa; Chordata; Mammalia; Rodentia; Muridae. The record is from RNAcentral.
CCUUUGAAAACACUUCUAUUUAGUAACCUCUGAAAAAAAGACACGUCUAGGAGUACCUUCUUCAGCCCAUCCUAAUACAAAGAUUACUAAUUCCUUUGACCAGGACCGUAAGUGACUCACUUUGGUGAGGAUUUACAAGCAUACUUGUUCCCAGACUCCUAGGCCAGCGUGACCAAUGCUCUGUGUUGUGAAUAUAAUAGCAAACCCUUCCCCUGGUUCAGCAUAGUUAGUCGUAGGGGUUUGCUAUGCCUUUCACGUACCUCUAGGCUCUUAAGUCCCUACUGUUUCACAAGCUUUAAUCAGAGCAGUAGUGGUCACAGGAGAAGGGCUGGCUUCCAGAAGUAGCCCAGGUCAGCCACUGUCAGUCUCUGGAAAGGGCAUAGUGUCUCUGCUCAUUUACCUGGAGCAGCACGACAGUCGCAUGCACCUACAGGAAGCAGUCACCACAGAGAGCAGAUGUGAGUCCAGCCCCACAUUUUCAGACUGCAGCCAGAGUCCUUCUCACGUCACACGCAGCCAGAGCUACGCUGCUCUUCAGCUUCCACCCGGUCCUGGGUCCUGCAUGCUGCACUUGCUUGCUAUGUUGGCGCAGAGCCCAGCCAGUACAAAGCCCUCUCCUCUCCUCUUUUCUUCUCUUCCAGCAUUCCCCUCUCUAAAAUGUCAACCAAAGAGAGCCUCCCCUCCCCCGCACCCCACCCCUGCUCUCAGCCUCUUUAGACAGUCUCCUCUCCAUCUCGUGGCAUGUCUGUGACCCUAGAGAAUUCAUUUACAGUGCCAUACGGAACCCUGUAUUUUACACACACAGCAAGCGAUGUUUAGGUUUAUUUAUGAUACUUGAUGCUGUAAAUGAAAAUAAAUAUGGUUCUUUAUAAAACC